RNAcentral lists this transfer-messenger RNA (359 nucleotides) under Luteolibacter pohnpeiensis. Its description in RNAcentral is "Standard tmRNA". It matches the Rfam family "transfer-messenger RNA". From Rfam's summary of the family: Bacterial tmRNA, also known as 10Sa RNA or SsrA, is named for its dual tRNA and mRNA-like properties. Its role is to liberate the mRNA from a stalled ribosome. To accomplish this part of the tmRNA is used as a reading frame that ends in a translation stop signal. The record is from Rfam by way of RNAcentral. Lineage: Bacteria; Pseudomonadati; Verrucomicrobiota; Verrucomicrobiia; Verrucomicrobiales; Verrucomicrobiaceae.
GGGGGCGUUCUGGUUUCGACGGGAUGUUCAACGCGCUGGUUGCACGUGGAGGUUGAUCGGCUGGCCUCCUAAAAAAGCCGCUCAAAACAAAUAAAUGCAGACUCUAACGAGCUCGCACUGGCCGCUUAAUUGACGACCACGUCAAAACCCCGACGCCUGCUAGGGGGGCUGGCGACACUUCAGCAGGCUGGAAUCAAGGUCGGGUAGCCGGGCCUCGAUUUGAGACUAAACAGGAUUCUAGGAUGCGUAACGCUGCAUGUGGGCCACGCGCAUCCGAAAUACCAGAUCGCAUGCUAAACGUGUAGAUACCAACGCCGACGAUGUUUCGGACAGGGGUUCGACUCCCCUCGCCUCCACUU